CCUACGGGAGACAGCAGUGGGGAAUAUUGCACAAUGGGCGAAACCCUGAUGCAGCCACGCCGCGUGAGUGAAGAAGGAAUUCGUUAUGUAAAGCUCCUUUUGUAGGGGAGAAAAUGACGGUACCUGAGUAAGAAUCCCCGGCUAACUACGUGCCAGCAGCCGCGGUAAUACGGAGGGGGCAAGCGUUAUCCGGAUUUACUGGGUGUAAAGGGAGCGUAGGCGGCAGUGAAAGUCUGGAGUGAAAGGCGGGGGCUCAACCCCCGGACUGCACUGGAAACUGUACGGCUGGAGUGCAGGAGAGGUAGGUGGAAUGCCUGGUGUAGCGGUGAAAUGCGUAGAUAUUAGGAAGAACACCAGUGGCGAAGGCAGCUUACUGGACUGUAACUGACGUUGAGGCUCGAAAGCGUGGGGAGCAAACAGGAUUAGAUACCCCUGUAGUC
Molecule: ribosomal RNA, 440 nt
Filed under: uncultured bacterium
Lineage: Bacteria
Description: partial 16S ribosomal RNA
Rfam family: Bacterial small subunit ribosomal RNA
Source: RNAcentral